GAGUUUGAUCCUGGCUCAGGAUGAACGCUGGCGGCGUGCUUAAUACAUGCAAGUCGAACGGAAAGCGGUGCUGAUUGCUUAGGUGAUUGGUGUCGUGGAGAGUGGCGAACGGGUGCGAAACACGUAGGUAACCUGCCCUGAAAGGGGGGAUAACCACGGGAAACUGGGGCUAAUACCGCAUAAUCUCGCCGGGGCGGGUGGUUUCGGUGAGGAAAGCUGAGGCGAUUUGGGAGGGGCCUGCGGUCGAUUAGCUGGUUGGUGGGGUAAAGGCCUACCAAGGCGAUGAUCGAUAGCUGUUCUGAGAGGAAGACCAGCCACACGGGAACUGAGACACGGUUCCGACUCCUACGGGGGGCAGCAGUGAGGAAUAUUGCGCAAUGGGGGGAACCCUGACGCAGCAACGCCGCGUGGAGGACGAAGGUUUUCGGAUUGUAAACUCCUUAACUGGGGGAAGAGAGAGGACGGUACCCCAGGACGAAGACACGGCUAACUAGGUGCCAGCAGCCGCGGUAAUACCUAGGUGUCGAGCGUUAUCCGGAAUUACUGGGCGUAAAGGGUGCGCAGGCGGCGAUACAAGUCUGGCGUGAAAGCUUCUGGCUUAACUGGGAGAGGACGUUGGAAACUGUAUGGCUAGAGUGAAUGAGAGGGGGGCGGAAAUCCCGGUGUAGUGGUGGAAUGCGUAGAUAUCGGGAAGAACACCAGAGGCGAAGGCAGCCUCCUGGCAUUUUACUGACGCUGAGGCACGAAAGCGUGGGUAGCGAACGGGAUUAGAUACCCUGGUAGUC
This 785-nucleotide ribosomal RNA is filed under the name uncultured bacterium. RNAcentral's name for it is "bacterial SSU rRNA". It matches the Rfam family "Bacterial small subunit ribosomal RNA", at positions 9 to 795 of the family's 1533-position model. The record is from RNAcentral.